This 834-nucleotide long non-coding RNA is filed under the name Cottoperca gobio. RNAcentral's name for it is "lncRNA (ENSCGOG00000010316.1)". The record is from RNAcentral. Lineage: Eukaryota; Metazoa; Chordata; Actinopteri; Perciformes; Bovichtidae.
AGUGCCAAAACACACCGGAACAGGAGGCGACAGCAAGUGACAGUCGCUGAGAUUGACAGGUUCCAUGUUUUCUUCGGUUUGAAACAAAACAACAGCCAACCGCGUCACAAUUUACAAGUUGUUUUCAGAAAUCCCAGUUGCAACCUGGCUUGAAUUGUUGAUUUGGAAAGGAUUAUUUUUCUCAGCCAUGUUCAUCAAAAGGACGCAUCGAAAACAUUUUGGUGAAUCAUUUUGGAUGGACUUGGAUGUUUGUGAUGCUGUUGGUGAAGCUGGUUUCAGAGAGAAAGUGAGCUGCACUUUUACAUGGCUGGAGCUGAAAGAACAUGGAGCCAAAAGAAAAACUUCAGAUUGAAGGUGAUGACCGUGGAGGAUCUACUGGAGCUUCCUGGGAGGCUGAACUGAGAUCAACAAAUCAAGCAUCUGGUUGUCGUCCUUUUGGUGUUUUUUAGUUUCACUACUAAAAGCCUCCAUUUGUAUUCUGGCUUUAACUUCCCCUCUAGUUAUGCCAGCACAAAGUCAAGUCGCUAACAACACUUGAUAUGAUUUUGCUACAAAUGAGGUGCAGUAUUAGUGUUGACUUUAAGAGCACAUAUACAUAGCCUUUUAUAAUCAUAUUUGAAGAUGUAUUUUCUUGCUCAGUGUGUGGACCUCUGCACUGUCUGACUUGCUUGCCUGGAUAGAAUACCUGUACUGACUUGUUUAAUGUAUAUCAGCAUGUGUUGUGUACAUUUGUAAUGUGGAAAAAUUGAUACUGUUAUAAAGAAUAAAAACGUAUAAUGUAUGUGCCAGACUUGUUAACUCAUUCAUGGAGCAAGCCUGUUUGAUUCAAACUUU